GGUUCAUUCAAAUUUCUGCCCUAUCAACUUUCGACGGCUGGGUCUUGGCAGCCGUGUGACAACGGGUAACGGGGAAUUAGGGUUUGAUUCCGGAGAAGGAGCCUGAGAAACGGCUACUACAUCCAAGGAAGGCAGCAGGCGCGCAAAUUACCCAAUCCCGACCGGGGAGGUAGUGACAAUAAAUACUGAUACAGGGCCCUUUUGGGUCUUGUAACUGGAAUGAGUACAAUUUAAAUCCCUUAACGAGGAACAAUUGGAGGGCAAGUCUGGUGCCAGCAGCCGCGGUAAUUCCAGCUCCAAUAGCGUAUAUUAAAGUUGUUGUGGUUAAAAAGCUCGUAGUUG
RNAcentral lists this ribosomal RNA (342 nucleotides) under uncultured fungus. Its description in RNAcentral is "SSU rRNA". It matches the Rfam family "Eukaryotic small subunit ribosomal RNA", at positions 292 to 636 of the family's 1831-position model. The record is from RNAcentral. Lineage: Eukaryota; Fungi.